RNAcentral lists this unclassified non-coding RNA (367 nucleotides) under Hevea brasiliensis (rubber tree). The record is from RNAcentral. Lineage: Eukaryota; Viridiplantae; Streptophyta; Magnoliopsida; Malpighiales; Euphorbiaceae.
UUCUUAUACAUGUAUAUAUUCUUUAAAAUCCUAACUUUGUCUCCACCUUAUUUCUUCCUCUCUAUCAAGUCUGCCGCCCGCCUCUCCCACCAUUCUCUCCUUAUUUCGUCUCUAACCAGUGCCACUCACCUCCCUUGAUUUCUCUUCUCCUCUUGUUUUCUCUGCUCCAUUAAUUUUUCCUCCCCUUCAUUUCCUCACUGCCCGACGCCCACCUUCCCUUCUCUUUUGUUUUGGUCUCAACUCUGCAUGUGCUUUUUUAGAGCCCAACGCCGUUGCCCGUAGAGCCACAACAUCAGCGCCACAGAUCCACGCAGCAGUGUUUUUUGCAAAUCCAACGGUGCUCUUUCAUUUAUUUUUUAUUUUAUUU